Molecule: ribosomal RNA, 448 nt
Filed under: Bacillus pumilus
Lineage: Bacteria; Bacillati; Bacillota; Bacilli; Caryophanales; Bacillaceae
Description: bacterial SSU rRNA
Rfam family: Bacterial small subunit ribosomal RNA
Source: RNAcentral
GCAAGACUGAAACUCAAAGGAAUUGACGGGGGCCCGCACAAGCGGUGGAGCAUGUGGUUUAAUUCGAAGCAACGCGAAGAACCUUACCAGGUCUUGACAUCCUCUGACAACCCUAGAGAUAGGGCUUUCCCUUCGGGGACAGAGUGACAGGUGGUGCAUGGUUGUCGUCAGCUCGUGUCGUGAGAUGUUGGGUUAAGUCCCGCAACGAGCGCAACCCUUGAUCUUAGUUGCCAGCAUUCAGUUGGGCACUCUAAGGUGACUGCCGGUGACAAACCGGAGGAAGGUGGGGAUGACGUCAAAUCAUCAUGCCCCUUAUGACCUGGGCUACACACGUGCUACAAUGGACAGAACAAAGGGCUGCGAGACCGCAAGGUUUAGCCAAUCCCACAAAUCUGUUCUCAGUUCGGAUCGCAGUCUGCAACUCGACUGCGUGAAGCUGGAAUCGCUA